CCCUUAGAUGUUCUGGGCCGCACGCGCGCUACACUGAUGCAUUCAACGAGUCUAAAACCUGCUCUGAUAGGGGUGGGUAAUCUUUUGAAUGUGCAUCGUGAUUGGGAUAGAUGAUUGCAAUUUUUCAUCUUCAACGAGGAAUGCCUAGUAAACGCAAGUCAUCAGCUUGCAUUGAUUACGUCCCUGCCCUGUGUACACACCGCCCGUCGCUCCUACCGAUUGAAUGAUCCGAUGAAUAUCAUGGAUUGAGGAUGCAAGUAGGUUAGCCUAUCUUCAUCUUCGAGAAGUGAAGUAAAUCUUAUCAUUUAGAGGAAGGAGAAGUCGUAACA
Molecule: ribosomal RNA, 329 nt
Filed under: uncultured eukaryote
Lineage: Eukaryota
Description: partial 18S ribosomal RNA
Rfam family: Eukaryotic small subunit ribosomal RNA
Source: RNAcentral